Molecule: long non-coding RNA, 182 nt
Organism: Salvelinus sp. IW2-2015
Lineage: Eukaryota; Metazoa; Chordata; Actinopteri; Salmoniformes; Salmonidae
Exons: 3
Source: RefSeq, a predicted model, not a curated record
AAGCUUCAGCGCUGGACCGAGAUCCUCCAAUGCCCCUCAGAGGAGGACAAGGAGAUUCGGAAAAAGCAGGUCCGCCCUCUUUUCCGCCACUUCCGUCGCAUCGAUGCCUGUCUGCAGCCCAGAGAGGCCUUCCGGGGCUCAGAUGAGAUCUUUUGCAGGGUGUACACGCCGGACCACUCGUA